GGGAGAGACAGAGAAGGAGAGGCAGGAGAGAGACAGAGAAGGAGAGGCAGGAGAGAGACAGAGAAGGAGAGGCAGGGAGAGAGACAGAGAAGGAGAGGCAGGAGAGAGACAGAGAAGGAGAGGCAGGGAGAGAGACAGAGAAGGAGAGGCAGGGAGAGAGACAGAGAAGGAGAGGCAGGAGAGAGACAGAGAAGGAGAGGCAGGGAGAGAGACAGAGAAGGAGAGGCAGGAGAGAGACAGAGAGGAGAGGCAGGAGAGAGACAGAGAAGGAGAGGCAGGAGAGAGACAGAGAAGGAGAGGCAGGGAGAGACACAGAGGGAGAGAAGCAGGAGAGAGACCGAGAAGGAGAGGCAGGAGAGAGACAGAGAUGGGGGUAGGAAACAGUAGGAGACAGAAAGAAGAUGAGCGUAGACAGAGAGUGGGCUGGAGAGAAGGCAAGAGGUAGCCAGUGUGAGACAGACAGCCAAACAGGGAGAAAGAGACAGAGACCAGGGAGACACAGAGAUGGGAGGCAGAGGCAGAGAUGUGUGGAGACAGUGACAGAUUUAAGUGUGGUGCAGACAGGAGUGGCCGAGGUAGAAGAAACAGGGCCAGAGCUAUGGGCCGCAGCCAUGUGGGGCUGUAAGAAGUGUAGCUUCCUUUUUUUUCUUUCUGCCUCUCUUCUAGCUUGCCUUCCUCAACAGUGGGCUCCCUCCGGACAUGUUGUGUUUCCUUACUGUUUCUCUGAAGCUUUCCUUCUGGACAAGUGGCUGCUUGUCAACCAUUGUCUGACCUCCACACCAGGUUCAAUGGCACACUGUUUCUUAAUCUCCCCCUCUGACCUCCUCCAGGCAGCUGCUCAGGGCUCACAACUUUCCUGCCCUGAGAUUUUUCUUUUAAACUCUGAUAAAAUUGUCAUU
This 899-nucleotide long non-coding RNA is filed under the name Cricetulus griseus (Chinese hamster). RNAcentral's name for it is "lncRNA (ENSCGRG00015036397.1)". The record is from RNAcentral. Lineage: Eukaryota; Metazoa; Chordata; Mammalia; Rodentia; Cricetidae.